CCUACGGGAGGCAGCAGUAGGGGAUCUUCGGCAAUGGACGAAAGUCUGACCGAGCAACGCCGCGUGAGUGAAGAAGGUUUUCGGAUCGUAAAACUCUGUUGGUAGAGAAGAACGUUGGUGAGAGUGGAAAGCUCAUCAAGUGACGGUAACUACCCAGAAGGGGACGGCUAACUACGUGCCAGCAGCCGCGGUAAUA
Molecule: ribosomal RNA, 196 nt
Filed under: uncultured Lactococcus sp.
Lineage: Bacteria; Bacillati; Bacillota; Bacilli; Lactobacillales; Streptococcaceae
Description: partial 16S ribosomal RNA
Rfam family: Bacterial small subunit ribosomal RNA
Source: RNAcentral